CUUCUCCGCCUCAAAUCUCACCAUCGACGAGAUCACAAGCUCCCCGGCGAAGCUAGCAGGCGGAGCGCGCGGCGCGGCGGCACGGCGGCGUGGCGAACCAGGCCAAUUUCCCUAAUCCCCUUCCUCGUCGCGGCGAAGCCUCGAAAUCUCUCCAUGGACGCGACCAACGGCUCCCCCACGAAUCUAGCAGGCGGUUCGCGCGGCAGUGCGGCGACGGGCCGGCGACGAUUCGGUCCAGCAGCUUCGCCGCGGGUUCGACAUCACCGAUGACUGGCAGGGAGGAGGGAUCUGGGUCUCGAUUUUUGAGCGGAUGAUGAAGACUGAUUUGAGAGAAAUCAUGGCUACAUUACAUAUUCUAGCUUCUUGGAAGAGAAAUUUUACAUGCCUCUCCUUGCUUUCAGGUUCCUGGCAAUGCAGUUUGCCACUAGUUUUUGUUCAUCUACUAGUUUAAGGUGCGGUCUCACAAACUGCUAAAACCUGGUGCUUUUUGGUGUUGUAUUGUACUCCAAGAACAUGCAUCCUACGAUGCAGACCACUUUGUACGACUAUGUCUUUUUCUCUCAUAACUGUUGGAGACCAGUUUUAUACAUCUAUGACAAAAUCUGUGGGGUAGCUGAUACUGAUGCA
Molecule: long non-coding RNA, 627 nt
Organism: Lolium rigidum
Lineage: Eukaryota; Viridiplantae; Streptophyta; Magnoliopsida; Poales; Poaceae
Exons: 2
Source: RefSeq, a predicted model, not a curated record